UAGGGAAUCUUCCGCAAUGGACGCAAGUCUGACGGAGCAACGCCGCGUGAGUGAAGAAGGAUUUCGGUUCGUAAAACUCUGUUGUUAGAGAAGAACAGCGCAUAGAGUAACUGUUAUGCGUGUGACGGUAUCUAACCAGAAAGCCACGGCUAACUACGUGCCAGCAGCCGCGGUAAUACGUAGGUGGCAAGCGUUGUCCGGAUUUAUUGGGCGUAAAGCGAGCGCAGGCGGUCAAUUAAGUCUGAUGUGAAAGCCCCCGGCUCAACCGGGGAGAGUCAUUGGAAACUGGUUGACUUGAGUGCAGAAGAGGAGAGUGGAAUUCCAUGUGGAGCGGUGAAAUGCGUAGAUAUAUGGAGGAACACCAGUGGCGAAGGCGACUCUCUGGUCUGUAACUGACGCUGAGGCUCGAAAGCGUGGGUAGCAAACAGG
Molecule: ribosomal RNA, 429 nt
Filed under: Bacteroidota bacterium
Lineage: Bacteria; Pseudomonadati; Bacteroidota
Description: Bacteroidetes bacterium partial 16S ribosomal RNA
Rfam family: Bacterial small subunit ribosomal RNA
Source: RNAcentral